AAGCAACGCGAAGAACCUUACCAGGGCUUGACAUCCCUCUGACAGUCCCUUAACCGGGACCUUCUUCGGACAGAGGAGACAGGUGGUGCAUGGUUGUCGUCAGCUCGUGUCGUGAGAUGUUGGGUUAAGUCCCGCAACGAGCGCAACCCUUGUCUUUAGUUGCCAUCAUUCAGUUGGGCACUCUAGAGAGACUGCCGGUAAUAACCGGAGGAAGUGGGGAUGACGUCAAAUCAUCAUGCCCCUUAUGACCUGGGCUACACACGUGCUACAAUGGUUGGUACAACGAGUUGCGAGUCGGUGACGGCGAGCUAAUCUCUUAAAGCCAAUCUCAGUUCGGAUUGUAGGCCGCAACUCGCCUACAUGAAGUCGGAAUCGCUAGUAAUCGCGGAUCAGCACGCCGCGGUGAAUACGUUCCCGGGCCUU
Molecule: ribosomal RNA, 423 nt
Filed under: uncultured Streptococcus sp.
Lineage: Bacteria; Bacillati; Bacillota; Bacilli; Lactobacillales; Streptococcaceae
Description: bacterial SSU rRNA
Rfam family: Bacterial small subunit ribosomal RNA
Source: RNAcentral